Long non-coding RNA from Neltuma alba, 300 nucleotides. RefSeq lists it as uncharacterized. The transcript has 2 exons. The record is from RefSeq and is a predicted model, not a curated record. Lineage: Eukaryota; Viridiplantae; Streptophyta; Magnoliopsida; Fabales; Fabaceae.
UGCAGCUGCGGGAGUGCCAGUGUCAUUGGCUCCAAUAAGUCAAGAUGCCAUGUCUCCGAAUGAUCAACCAAGAGAAGGAUUGGCACCAAGCCCUUCAACACAGGAAUCAACUUUGACUUAUCUUCCAAAUGAAGACGACGAAGAUGCAGCUUCCACCAUUAGCAGACACUCUAAGCUCAAUUUCAUGUUCGGCUUCGUCAUUGCCAUCAUCUUCACCUUAAAUUAUGAUUCCUAAACAUCAUUAAUUACUAUGUUCUUAAAACGUCAUUUUUGGGUUCAUACAGUCCCCAUUUACAUUCA